Non-coding RNA from Bubalus bubalis (water buffalo), 508 nucleotides. The record is from the annotation of a RefSeq genome assembly. Lineage: Eukaryota; Metazoa; Chordata; Mammalia; Artiodactyla; Bovidae.
GCAGGGCAGUCACCUCUCGGAGAUAGAGCCCCUCUGCAGAGCCCCUCGCCCUCUCAUCCACACUCAGACCAAGGGGCCUUCCGCCUGCCCCGUCCCGGCCAUGAGCCCCUGCCUCCUGGGCUGUGUGGUCUUCUGUCUCCUGCAGGCAGGGGCGGUCCAUGCUGGGGUCACUCAGGACCCCAGAUUCCAGGUCGUGAGGAGAGGACAGAACGCGACACUGACAUGUACUCAGGAUCUGGGUCAUAACUACAUGUGCUGGUACCGACAAGACCCAGGACACGGGCUGAGGCUGAUUUAUUACUCAGUUGGGCCUCCCAGCACGGAGAAAGGAGACGUUUCCGACGGGUACGGUGUCUCCAGAUCAAGCAAAGAGAAUUUUCCUCUCACACUGGAGUCUGCCAACCACUCCCAAACAUCUGUGUACUUCUGUGCCAGCAGUUACUCCACGGCGCUGCAUGGCCACCUGCUCCCUGUGCAAAAAGACAGGGUCCCACGUGCAGGCUCCUAG